CUCAUUUUUCACUCACUAAUUACUGUAACUAAAGGGAUAUUUCUGUUUGUCUCCAUAGAGAGAAAGUGAGAGAAAAUGUUUCGGCGUUUACUUUCGUUUUUGCCUUGCGUGCCGAGGAAAAAACGGAAUAAACCCCCGAGAGAAUUUCUUGCGAUUGAAAAAGAUGAAGCCGAUGUGGUCGUCGUGGUAAGCAGGGAGGAACUGGUUAACACAAUAUAAUGAUCACACUUUGCUCACUAUUUGUGCUUUUCCAGCCAUUUCAUUUACUAUUAUUUUUGGCCAUUUUUGCUCGUUUAUUCUUGUAAUAAAACAUGAUUUUAUCCUUCC
Long non-coding RNA from Xenopus tropicalis (tropical clawed frog), 327 nucleotides. RefSeq lists it as uncharacterized. Lineage: Eukaryota; Metazoa; Chordata; Amphibia; Anura; Pipidae. The record is from RefSeq and is a predicted model, not a curated record. The transcript is spliced from 3 exons.